This is a long non-coding RNA of Pseudopipra pipra, 1813 nucleotides long. RefSeq lists it as uncharacterized. The record is from RefSeq and is a predicted model, not a curated record. NCBI's taxonomy places the organism in Eukaryota, Metazoa, Chordata, Aves, Passeriformes, Pipridae. The transcript is spliced from 11 exons.
AGGAAGCUUUGGAUUCCUCCCAAGUUUUAUGCUAAAGGUUUCCUUGCUCUCUCAGCAGGAUGUCGAGUGCCACCGUGUCCCUGAGGUCACCCUUUCUCCUGUUGGGAGAGCACGAGGUGGAUGGAGAGGAUCCCCAGGCAUCUGCAGGCACAAGGAACUUGUGCAGCUGUGAUUUUCCUACAGCCCUUGUGAGAUGGACUUUGAGGGUACCAUGAGUAAUGUGCCAGCUCUCCUGCUGGAGCUUUUGUCUGCUGUAUUUGAACACAAAGAGUAGAACUAAAGUCAGGGAAUAACUCCUGUCAGCAGCAAGGUCCCGACUGAAGUGGCAGCUGCAGUUGUUCCUGUGGUGUGGGCCAGUGGAACUGCAGGAGAGUGGAAGAGGGCAGAACCUGAGAAAAUCUGGAAAGCAGGAAGGAAGCAAAGAAGCCCCGUGACUCCUCCCUGAGCCCCAGCCAGCCCCUGAACUGCCUUCCUGGGAAUGGUAGGACGGGGUGGACUCUGGAUUGCUCCCUCUGGAUGUGUGGCUCUCCCCUCAGGAACUGCAGGAACUCCUGGUGCCGCCUGGGCUGAUGGAUUGGACGCCCCAGCCCCUCCGUUCCUGCCCAGCCACUGGGGCCGUGUCCAGUGGUGGCACUGCCAGCCCUGCAGGGGAAGUGGGAAGGGCCUUUGCAGGUCUUGUGGAUCACAUUGAUAGCAGUGGGAUGGAGCCUGGAAACUCCCCAGAGCUGAGCCAAGGGAUUGAAAGGGACCAACCAAGGGAGGUGAAGAAAGAAGGAAGAAGGGAACUGAGGCGCCAUCCAAGCAGCACCAAGUUGCUGUGUAAGCAGGAGAAAAUUGGGAAAGUGGGAAGGAAGAAGAGAAGCCCUGUGACUCCUCCCUGAGCCCCAGCCAGCCCCUGAACUGCCUUCCUGGGAAUGGUGGGACGGGCUGGACUCUGGAUUGCUCCCUCUGGAUGUGUGGCUCUCCCCUCAGGAACUGCAGGAACUCCUGGUGCCGCCUGGGCCGAUGGAUUGGACGCCCCAGCCCCUCCGUUCCUGCCCAGCCCCUGGGGCCGUGUCGAGUGGUGGCACUGCCAGCCCUGCAGGUGAAGUGGGAAGGGCCUUUGCAGGUCUUGUGGAUCACAUUUAUUGCAGUGGGAUGUAGCCUGGAAACUCCCCAGAGCUGAGCCAUGGGUUUUAAAGGGACCAACUAAGGGAGGUGAAGAAAGAAGGAAGAAGGGAACUGAGGCAGCAGCCAAGCAGCACGAAGUGGCUGUGUAAGCAGGAGAAAUUUGGGCAAGCGGGCAGGAAGAAGAGAAGCCCCGUGACUCCUCCCUGAGCCCCAGCCAGCCCCUGAACUGCCUUCCUGGGAAUGGUGGGACGGGCUGGACUCUGGAUUGCUCCCUCUGGAUGUGUGUGGGAUGGAGCCUGGAAACUCCCCAGAGCUGAGCCAAGGGAUUGAAAGGGACCAACCAAGGGAGGUGAAGAAAGAAGGAAGAAGGGAACUGAGGCAGCAGCCAAGCAGCACCAAGUUCCUGUGUAAGCAGGAGAUGGAAUUCUAGUGCUACAGAAGAGAUGGCUCGUGGUGCUCCCAAAAGGAGCCUUUGUGCCUUCAGGGUAAGUUGUGUUGCCCCUGGAGCUGUUGGGAGAAGCAGAGGGUUGUCAGGGAGAGGCCUGGAAUGAUGUUGCUGUGGCACAGACGUUGCUCCCUGGCAGGUUCUUGGGUUGGAUUCCUUGGCUGCCACUUGGCAAGGCCUGGAAGGGCCUCAGUUGGGUAGGGAACCAAACCUGGAAUGGGAAAGCAAAGGGGGGGCGGUUCUGGUUUCAGAAAGGAU